RNAcentral lists this ribosomal RNA (391 nucleotides) under Brachybacterium aquaticum. Its description in RNAcentral is "bacterial SSU rRNA". It matches the Rfam family "Bacterial small subunit ribosomal RNA", at positions 90 to 495 of the family's 1533-position model. Lineage: Bacteria; Bacillati; Actinomycetota; Actinomycetes; Micrococcales; Dermabacteraceae. The record is from RNAcentral.
GAUUAGUGGCGAACGGGUGAGUAACACGUGAGUAACCUGCCCCUCACUUCGGGAUAACCUCGGGAAAUCGUGGCUAAUACCGGAUAUUAGUGUGCACCGCAUGGUGCGUGUUGGAAAGAUUUAUCGGUGGGGGAUGGACUCGCGGCCUAUCAGUUUGUUGGUGAGGUAAUGGCUCACCAAGACGAUGACGGGUAGCCGGCCUGAGAGGGCGACCGGCCACACUGGGACUGAGACACGGCCCAGACUCCUACGGGAGGCAGCAGUGGGGAAUAUUGCACAAUGGGCGAAAGCCUGAUGCAGCGACGCCGCGUGGGGGAUGACGGCCUUCGGGUUGUAAACCCCUUUCAGUAGGGAAGAAGCGAAAGUGACGGUACCUGCAGAAGAAGCGCCG